UUUUUUUUGAGACUGAGUUUUGCUCUCCAGGCUGGAGUGCAGUGGUAUGCUCUCAAUUCACUGCAACCUCCGCCGCCCGGGUUCAAGCCAUUCUCCUGCCUCAGUCUCCCAAGUAGCUGGGAUUACAGGUGCUCGCCACCACACCCGGCUAAUUUUUGUAUUUUUAGUAGACAGGGUUUCGCUAUGUUGUCCAGGCUGGUCUCGAACUCCUGUCCUCAGGUGAUACACCCGCCUCGGCCUCCCAAAGUGCUGGAAUUUCAGGCAUGAGCCACCGCGCCCGGCCUAGAUACCGGUUUUCUACAGCAGAAGUAGUCACACUUUCUAAAGCAGAGGGCUUUGGAGUCAGACCCGAGCUGGAGUGAAGGAUGCCUUGCGAUCUCUCUUCAGCAAGCUGUUGUUUUAGGGACGUGGGGCCACUUUCCUUUAUUUGUAUAAAAGAUGCCAGUGCCCACUUCAGAGCUGUGCUGCUCCGGGCCAGAAGUUCAGCGAGUGUCCGUCGGCCCGGCGCUGUCACGUAAGUGGGCUCUUUGAGGUUCACAACGCGUCCUCCCGUGACGUUCUGGGCCUGUGAAGUUUGUGUCCAUGGGAAACGCGCACGGCGGUUCCUCAGGGAGCCGAGGGAGACCCUGGCAUCUACUAAACAUCCUAGCAGGCAAAAGGGCGCUCCCACGGAACUCGCCGGCCCGAGGGCCCGGAUAGGCCUCCACCUCCACCUUCUCAGACCCUCAUACGUUGGCCCUUCCGGCGGCAGCUUCCAGAGCGGGUAGGAGGUGCCACGAGCCGCCCCGCCUGUGCUUAGCUUUGUUGGGCUACGUCACUUCCGCCGCGGUCCCGCCCCCAGCGUGGCCGUAACUCAGGGCAACGGCCCGGCAGGCAGCGACCUGAGUCGCCCUCGCCCACGGGCCGGGACUAGCUGUCGCGAGGCCUUCCAUCCGCUCGGCCCCACAGGAAAAGACCACCAGCAUUCUCUUUUAGUAGCGGAGCGUCUUGAUUCUGCGUGAAGUACACCAGGGUUCUGAAGGUGCAUCUGGUGAUCCGCAAGAAGAUGUUAAAAACUUUAAGCAACCAUCGUAGUAAUGGAUCUCUGUCAGAAAAAUGAGACUGACUUAGAAAAUGGUGAAAAUAAUGAAAUUCAAAGCACAGAAGAAACAGAACCAACCUGUACUUGUCCAGAUGGAAGAAGUGAAAAGAAUCAUGUUUAUUGUCUUCUCGAUAUCAGUGACAUUACGCUUGAACAAGAUGAAAAAGCCGAAGAGUUUAUUAUUGGAACGGGAUGGGAAGAGGCAGUCCAAGGGUGGGGAAGGACUUCUCCAGCUGCCUGCAUCUGGCCGAGGAAGUUACCAAAAAAGGCGAGGGUAGGGGAAGGUGCCUGCAGUGACUGCUUGGUGUGUCUUAACCUGGCCCACAGGAGCCUCGAGACCAAGCCUCCUACGGAGGGGGGCCCAGAGAAGGAUCAGAGCAGCCCCUCCCAGACUCAGGCAGCCCCCCAGGGCCCCAGCACCGCUUCCAGGGCGAUUAGCAACAUCUGCUUUCCCACCUACUUUCGAACAGAGAAAAAAAGUCUGCAAAUCAAGGAGUUUAUUUGGUGCACCGAAGACUGGGCCAUCCCGGACAGUAGUAGGAGCAAGGCCCUUCGGAACCCCAGUGGAGGGGCCCACAGAGGGCUGUCCAUCCCAGGCCCCCUGACUUCCAGGGCCCUCCUAGUUCUGCCACCCCUGAAGGCUUCACUUUCAAAUGCCUUGGAUGUUCUGGGUAAGAAGAGUAAGAACUCUUUCUUGCAGUCAGAAGAGAAGGUGCUGAGUGUGGAAAAGGAUGGGUGUCUGGCUUGUGCAUAUGGCUUGAAAACAGCAGAUGGGAAAGGUGAAAAGAGACCCAGUGAGCUGGCCAAACACACUGUGGUCAACGACACGCCAUCCUCCCCUUCCCCAGCGGCCCGGACAUCCCUGCUGGCCGAUCCGGAGCAGUGCUGUCUGCACUGGUCCCUCCUGUCUGAGAAAAACCUGGCGUGCCCUUCAGACUCCAGUAACGUUCGCUAUCUUGCUGCCUUGCAGCUUCUGCAGAAACGGGGAGUGCAAAACUACAAAUCCAAAUUCCAAGCCAAGGAUCCAAGACCUCCUGUGAUAACCCAAAAGGCCAAGCAGGAAAACAGGCCCCAGAUGCUGGAGACCAAAGUGUUCACAAGACCUCUCUUGCCAUCCCUCACAGUGAGCAGAGUUGUCAUUCCGGUCUCUACCCACAGGAUCCUCUGAGCGGUCACGGGAGAACCCCUGGGAAUAAGCGCUGCGUGAGAUGCAGCCAUCCUUUCUCUUUCUUCUCUCUCACUUCUCACCCACCCCCGAUUCUUUCUUUCUCUCCUCUCCGUCAGUCUGUUUUUCCUCUUCUUUUCCUCCUUUUUUUUUUGUAGUACAACCGAAGAAAACUGAACCUCUGUGAAUGGGUUGGGAUUUAUUCUCUAAAACACCAUAUUCAUGUGUUACCUGCUUCUGCUACUUAGCCAUUCACAAAAUGCCAAUUGAUCAUGCCAGCCCUGGCCUCUGCCUGCCUCAUGUCCACACCCAGCAGAAGCCACACAGAAGCACAGGAAAAAGAAGAUAAAGUAGGAGAGGGGUCAGUUUCACAUUCAGUCCUAAGCAGCAACAUGGUUGAGAUGUAAUCAUAAAAGCAAAUGUUUCACCCAGGACAUGGAAAAGCGGUGGAUCAGCAGAAAGCAAAGAGUCAAACGCCGCAAGCAGAAGCAGUAAGACGACGCCACGCUUGGAGCAAGGUCUUAUUUAAACCUGCCAUAGUCAUCAGCUCGCUCUGUUAGGUCUCCCCAGCCCGCCCCUCAAAAAAAGGUUAUAUGCAGAGGUAAUAUAAUAUAUGUACUUUUGAGAAUAACAAAGUCACCGUGGAGAUAAUUUCAAAACAAUUCUUUUUCAUUUUCAGAUAUAUUGGACUAUUUCACGGAUGCUAAAAAGAGUAUCACUUGUUUAAAUUUUUUGUGGUUUCUUUUUUGCAGCCUAAUGUUCUGUAAUAGUAACUUGCUUCCAAGUAAAGUAUCAAAAGCUAAUGGAGGGGCCAUGGCUGUGGUCACUCAUGGAUCAAACUUCACUAUUUUGGAAUGCGUGGAGUUGGAACAAAGUUUUUAUUUUGUUAUUUAUUAGUAAAGCAAUAAAUAACAUUAUCUUACUAAUAUU
Macaca mulatta (Rhesus monkey) is the source of this 3176-nucleotide non-coding RNA. The record is from RefSeq and is a predicted model, not a curated record. NCBI's taxonomy places the organism in Eukaryota, Metazoa, Chordata, Mammalia, Primates, Cercopithecidae.